UUCUCGCGGAACAGUCUAUCAGAAGCUACAGGGGGGCCUGAGUGCCCCCUCUCCGAGGAGGAAGUGGGAUGCUCCGCCGUUCCCAUGGCAGCAACAUCAUCGUCACAACAACAACACGCACUUGCAGCUGCAGACACAACAGCUGUGUCCACAGCGAGUCCACUGCCAGAGAAGAGCACGAAGACUCCCAACCAGGCCAAACAAGACAAGUAGAACCGUAGGACCGUCUCCACAGCAACCUGGCAUGCAUCCUAAGUGGCACCCUAUUCCCUAGCUAUGAAGUGUACUCCUUUUGAUCAGAGUAGUGCACUAUAUAGGGAAUAGGGUGCCACCUGGAAUGCAAAUCUGACGUUCAAUAAGUAACUUAGACAGACAGACAGAUGACAGACAAUGACUGACCAUCAUUUUGACAGACUUAUGGCUGAAUUCAAUCUGUAUCACAGAGGUAUCACAGAAGAUUCGCAUUAAAAUGCAAAUUCAUUGGUGUGAAAUACUACUUAAGAGUUUUUGGGGUACUGUACUUUACUAUAUAUAUUUUUGACAACUUUUACUUUUACUCCACUACAUUCCUGAAGAAAAUCAUGUACUUUUUACUCCAUACCUUUCCCCUGACACCUAGAAGUACUCGUUACGUUUUGAAUGCUUAGCAGGAAAAUGGUACGAUUUACACACUUAUCAAGAAAACAUCCCUGGUCAUCCCUACUGCCUCUGAUCUGGAGGACUCUCUACACAGAGAACAUCCCUGGUCAUCCCUACUGCCUCUGCUCUGGCGGACUCACUAAACACAAAUGCUUUGUUUGUAAAUUAUGUUCGAGUGUUGGAGUGUGCCCCUGGCUAUCUGUAAAAAUAUAUAUAUUAUUGUGCUGUCUGGUUAGCUUAAUAUAAGUAAUGUGAAAUAAUUUAUAUAUAUAUUAGCAAUUACAUUUACUUUUGAUACUUAAGUAUAUUUAAAACCAAAUACUUUUAGACUUUUACUUGAGUAGUAUUUUACUGGGUGACUUUCACUUUUACUUGAGUCAUUUUCUAUUAAGGUAUCUUUACUUCUACUCAAGUAUGACCAUUGGGUACUUUGUUCACCACUGUGUAAAGGUAAUUUCUGAUUGAGCCAACAUGUGCAGCUUUUGAAUGCAGUCUCUGCGACAGCGAGAACAUUGCCUUUAAUUGUCAAUGGUUGUCACGCCUGCUCCCGCUCUCUGGCGCUCGACGGUGCCAGGCUACCCAUUAUUACGCACACCUGUCACCAUCAUUACGCGCAUCAGCGCUCAUUGGACUCACCUGGACUCCAUCACUCUGUUGAUUGCCCCUCUGCAUCUGUCUGUUCCUUAGUUUGUUCCCCAUGUCAGCAUUAUUAAUGUCAUUCUUUUUCCCUUCCAGACGAUGUCCUUGUUCUGUUUCAUGUCCGUUGUUUAUUAAAUGUUCACUUCCUGUA
Molecule: long non-coding RNA, 1429 nt
Organism: Oncorhynchus masou masou (cherry salmon)
Lineage: Eukaryota; Metazoa; Chordata; Actinopteri; Salmoniformes; Salmonidae
Exons: 2
Source: RefSeq, a predicted model, not a curated record